Molecule: RNA transcript, 2346 nt
Organism: Pan troglodytes (chimpanzee)
Lineage: Eukaryota; Metazoa; Chordata; Mammalia; Primates; Hominidae
Gene name: E3 ubiquitin-protein ligase HERC2
Exons: 5
Source: RefSeq, a predicted model, not a curated record
GCCGCACGCACGCACGCCCGCACUCCCACGGGAGACGGCUUGGCUCCCAGCGCUCUUAAUCACGCCGCGGCGGGUGGUCGCGCUCACAUUAACUGGAGCUAUCCAGGGCGCGGGUCGAGUGGCGAGACCAGGAUCUUUGUGCAGUCGGCUGGCUGGGGCCUGAAGAGCUUCCUCCUGUGUGUUCAACUGAACGCAGCAAAAGUCUUGGGCAGAUUCCAUGGAGCAGCUGUGGAAGCACUGUGCAGGGAAUCAAAGAAGGAAACACCUCCAGCGACCACAAAACAAAAUUGAAGAACUAUAAAACAAUAUAGGCCGGGCAUGGUGGCUCACAGCUUUGCUUGGUCAUCGUGUUCUGAGUGGUCCAUUGGCCUCCAUGUCCCUUUUGGGGUGGAUAUUUGCUCAGUGACUUUUGAGCAGCUGGAUCUCCUGCUGCGGCAGGUGAGUGAGGGGAUGGAUGGCUCCGCGGACUGGCCCCCGCCCCAGGAGAAAGAGUGCGUGGCCGUGGCAACGCUGAAUCUUCCCCGACUUCAGUUGCAUGCUGCCAUUAGUCACCAGGUUGACCUGGAAUUCCUUGGUUUAGGUCUGGGCAGCGUCUUCCUGAACAGCCUGAAGCAGACGGUGGUGACCCUAGCAAGCAGCGCAGACGUGCUGAGCACCAUGCAGUCGGCCUCCCAGGCCAUGCUGCAGAGCGGCUGGUCCAUGCUGUUGCCCACCGCUGAGAAGCAGGCCCGGGCACUCUGCUCUCCUGCCCUGCGGAGUUUCAGGCAAUGAAGUGAACAUAAGUCCAGGUCAUCGAUUGGUGAUUGAUCUUCUGGUGGGCAGCUUGAUGGCUGAUGGAGGGUUGGAGUCAGCCUUACAUGCAGCCAGUACUGCAGAGAUCCAGGAUACAAAAAAAGAAGCACAGAAGGAAAAAGAAAUUGAUGAACAGGAAGCGAAUGCCUCAACAUUUCAUAGAAGGAGGACUCCAUUGGAUAAAGACCUUAUUAGUAUGGGGAUCUGUGAGUCUUCUGGCAAACAGUGUUUGCCUCUGGUUCAGCUCAUACAACAGCUUCUUAGGUAAAUCAUAUUAGCUGUAUUGUAUUGUGUUUUAUUUAUUUACUUUUUUUUUUUUUUUUGAGACAGAGUUUCGCUCUUGUUGCCCAGGCCGGAGUGCAGUGGUGCGAUCUUGACUCACUGCAACCUCCGCCUCCCAGGUUCAAGUAAUUCCUCUGCCUCAGCCUCUCGAGCAGCUGGGAUUACACGCAUGCACCACCAUGCCCCACUAAUUUUGUAGUUUUAUUAGAGACGGGGUUUCUUCAUGUUGGUCAGGCCGGUCUUGAACUCCCGACCUCAGGUGGUCCAUCCACUUUGGCCUCCCAAAAUGUUGGGAUUACAGGCAUUAGCCACCACGCCUGGCCUAUUUAUUUACUUAUUAAUGGUGUUUUUUUUGUGUGUGUGUGUUUUUUUGAGAUGGAGUCUUGCUCUAUCGUCCAGGCUGGAGUGCAGUGUCACGAUCUUGGCUCACUGCAACCCCCGCCUCCUGGGUUCAAGCUAUUCUCCUGCCUCAGCCUCCCGAGUAGCUGGGACUACAGGCGUCUGCAACCACACCUGGCUGAUUUUUGUAUUUUUAGUAGAGAUGGGGUUUGACCAUAUUCGUCAGGCUGGUCUCAAAUUCCUGACGUUAGGUGACCCACCUGCCUUGGCCUCUCAAAAUGUUGGGAUUACAGGUGUUAGCCACUGUGCCUGGCCUGUAUUGUAUUUUAAUAGGUGAUUAUUGGUUUUCAUAUUAAGAUAGUGAAAUCUAGCACAAGGAUCUCAAAAAUUUGUUUGGUGAUUGAAGGAAUAUUCUGAAAAUUACCUAGUAUAGAUGUUAGGAUAAAGAGCAGACCCUUCUCAAUAUAGGUGAGAGGAGAAGUUGGAGGGUAUGAUGAUACUCAGAAGUUUUUCACAGAAGAGAAAUUGGGGUGUGCAGUAAACAUGUAAAAAGAUUCUUACUAAUAAGCAGGUGGAUGCAAAUGAAAAUCAUCAUGGAAGGUUAUUUUUAAAACUGAUUGUAUCAUUGCCUCACUUUAUAUAUUACAGAGUUAUACAUACUACUUUGUAAGAUAACUUUUCUUUUCAAAACUGAAGUCAAUGUGAUAGAAUGGUGAGCAUUAUUUUGGAAGGCCCGACUAGGAGGAGGUGGGAAGAAGUGAGACUCAGCCUGUGAACAGAGGCUAACCUUGGCAGAAGCCAAAACGGUCAGACAGUGUUGUCUAAAAAUGAUCAUUCAAGAAGAGCGAAACAGCAAGGUGAUUUGUGAAGGAGAUUUAUUAGGAAAUGAAACACAUUUAUACCUCUGUUCAAUAAAAAUCUGCUUUUUGUCAA